UGAAAAGAAAAUAUUUUGUGCGACGGUGGUUAGCUCUUAGAAGAGCUGUUUAUGAGUAGCCGUCCAGACUGAGGUGACAGCGCAGAAGAUCCACGGGGCUCUGGCUGUAGUCUGGCUGACUGCUGAUGUAGUUGGAGCAGGGGCUUGCUUUUUACUCCCUUAGCUUUCAAAGCCUCCAUGAACGCCUCUGGAGUAGGGCAGUCUGUUCUAAGGGUCUUCAAAGUAGCAAUCCCCAGUCCAAGUUCGCCUAGUUUCUUUGCCUGUGCUUUGCUGAUAGUUGGCUUCCCCAAGGCCUUCACAAGGGAAGCCGACUGCUGAUGCACAGCUUUCUGUGUUGACCACAGCUCGAUCUGUCUCUUAGGAGACCGAAUAGGAAGGUUGGUGAGGCAGCUCACUAGCGACGGGUGAGUCAUCACUGCUUCCAUAGCCUGGACGUCGGGAAAGGCCCUGUGAGCACCUAGAUACGAGUUGAGUGUUAUCAUUUUAUUUGCUACAAUUUUGUACGUUACCUUCUACAGCAGUACCCAGGAUGUGCAGGUGGAGCGCUUCCAUACCCAGCCUGGUGCCAUUUAACUCACUCCGGCCAUCUUUCUUCAUCUACAAUCAUUGUACGAUAAGGCUAAUUUCAGUUCUUGAAAAGUAUACCUGACGUAGGAGAGGUAGGGUAUCGCUAAAGUGUAUUUUUUUACUCUCAAAGGCAGACAUACACAGAGUCCCUUGGCGUCGCUCCACUUCAGCCAGUAGAAUUGGGAAAUCAAACAAGAACCCAUUGUGAGCUACAAGAACUGGGAAAGUAAAAUACCAUAAUAAUUUGUGUUACAUGGGUAUUUUAUUUGUCUUACCAGGAUAGUGAGGAUUCGUGGUCACAUCACUAACGUAUGUGGUGACAGCAGUAACCCAGUCCAGGAACAGAGGGAGGACAACUGACAGCGGCUUCUCACCACGGAGAGUGGUAGUGCUGAUACCAGUUAUCCUGGACCACUCAGCUAACUUGGUGACAUGUACCUCAAGUCGCUCAAGUAUGCGAUGCCACUGCUUAUUGGAACACUGAGGUAGACCCAACCAGCCACUCAUCCGAGCAUACUCAGCGUAUAGAUGACCGUUUAGGAGGAACGACAGCACUGGGUAGUAUUGCUGCCACGAAAAACUGGGUAUGGUGAAAUCUGGCGAAUGAUUAAAGCUCACACAACCACUUGACACAAACAAAGAUAAACUCUCAACAUCAAAAGACAACCCUAUUUGCUCUGCGACUUCAGCCAGCCUUUGGGUUGUGCUCAUUUGUAAAGGAUGUCUUCGUUCAGUGCUCUCUAUCUCUGGCUCUGGCUCUGUCUCCUGUUCUGGCUCUGGUUGUGGUUCUUGUUCUGGCUCUCUCUGCGCUACAGGGUUGUCCUGCGUACUUGAAGACGUACACGUACACUGAGAGUGUGUGAUCGGUUCUACAAAGAAAAAAUUAUCUCAGUCUGCACUGAAUACCUGUAUUUAUUUAUACCUGUACCUAAACAUUGUAUUUUCCUGGCUUCUGUUGCAGCUUUGAGCUGUAGAAUUCUCUUUCUGCUGGGCAAUUUGGGCAUCCUACUAUAGCUAUCCAAACAAUUUGUAACACUGUGCUAUCUGUCUAGACUCUAUAGCAACUGUAACUUAAUUAAUGCGCGGCUCAUGCUAAUAGUAAAUUAUUGCACGCUAAUAUUGGCGCAUCAAUGAAUAUUAUUAUGUAAACGACAUUCCUGUGGUUUUGUUACAUCAAUUUGUUGCUAUGUCCCAGCACCCUUAACCCUUUCCCCGCCACUCUAGUGGUAAUUUUCAAAAAUUCGCUGUGCAUGCUGUGUUGGAGCUAUGCGCACGCUGUAGGUACCAGCACAUGCGCAUUGAGCUGCUGCCUCGAGGUACGCUUCGUACAAGAAAAGUGACAGUUUCAAGAUCUUCGUAGUAAAACCUCAGUGAGGUUCUAGAGCAGCUAGACAGUGAGAAUAUCGAUGCUUAUGGAAGCUACCUCAAGCUAAAGAAUAUACCUUGCGAUGGAUAAACUAUUUGGAUCUGGUAAGGCUUCAGUAUAACUGUAUUUAGGUUGAACUUGUAAACGAACUUGUAAACCUGUGUGUAGGUGAAGAAAACAUUUCCCGGGAAAAGGGCGUCUGCCUCACAGAUAACUUUAUGCAGAUCCUGAUUGAAAUGAACUUAUUUAGUGUCUUUAGCCACUUUGUGCCUUGUGCCCUCAUACAAUAUUAUUUGUGUACAUUUGUGAAUGUUACAUAAUGAAUGUUUGCAAAUUUUAAUAAUUUAUUGUAUUGACUUUUUUAUUCGAGUAUGCCUCAGAAAGAAAGUUCUGCGAAAAACCAUUCUACAAAUACUCAGUUCUGAAUAGCCGCAAAUUUGCGUCAUUAAGGAUCUCUCUACUUCGGUGUAGAAGCGAUAUGGGGCUUGUUACCUAUCUCUUAAACUCUAUCUAUUAAACUCGCAUACUCACCAAGGAGCAAGUAUACUGGCUCGAUAAGAACUGUAGCCUGUUGGUCAGUGUGCAUUAAUUGAGAUGCCUUGCUGUAAAUGCAAUAGGACAGGCGGAUGCGCUUGUGUAAAAGCUGGAAGAUCCUGCACAAGUUGCCUACCUACCAAGAUAGGAACAUGUCUCAACCAUACUUUGAAGUUUGCAGCCCAGAAUGAGAUGAUCCCAACACCCCCAGCCCCUUAGCCAACAACAACUGUGGACCAUAAUCUGAACGAGCCAGAAGUAAAAGCAUUGCCUCCAUGCAUUGCCUCCAUACAUACACACCAAUUUCAGAACCAAACUUUGGAUGGGGUAGUGAAGAUGGCAAGACAAUCACAAGCACCCUAAAUAGAAUAUAUGACAAGAUUGUCCACUGGAGAAGAAACCUUUUUAAAGUACCAUCUGGGAAACACGGAAAGUCAUUCGUUCGUGAACUGACACGAAUGUUUAAUGGGUACGGGGGUACGGGGAAGGAUCAGCACUUGAAAUCAUAGCCGCAAUGACAAUGCCUACCCUUCUCCUACAGAAAGAAACCCAGCUCCAAAUCCAAGCGACGCCUGAAACUCUGGACGGAGGGAGAGCCAUCCUAAUCCAUAACCAAUCGUCACGGCACAACAGAGAAGAUCAAACUGCCAGAAUAUUCGCCAAGCUAAUGAUGGAGCUAAUGAUGGAGGGAAAAGUGCGUGCAGCCCUAAGACUCAUUACCCAAUCAGGCAGUACAGGCCCACUCCCUCUAGACAGCCUAGCCAAUCACAAUGAUCCUGCAAGUCCUAGUCGAGAAGCACCCCCUAAAGCAACCACCCAAGAUCACGUGCAUCGCUAAGCCCGACAACCCUAUAGAUAAUCCACAUCCCAUAAUUUUUUUUGAAGAAAUUAAUGGUACAAUGAUUAGGAACAUUAUACUAAAAAUGGAUGGGUGCGGUGCGUCUGGUGCGUCUGGUCUGGAUGCUGCUUUCUGGAAAAGUCCCUGGCAGCCAAUGCAAGAAGAAUUAGCACAUCCUAUGUUGACCCAAAGGGUUUGAGUGCGUUUGUUGUCCCAGGGGAGGCUUUCCAUCGAUAUGCUACAAUGAGAUUCGUGAGAUUCGUGAUAUGACUGCAACCCUAAUGAGCGAAGUCUGCCACAACGUGAAAAUAGAACCUGGAUUACAACCUGUAACUGGGGAGCAAUUCGAACACAGGACAGCCAAUCGCGAGGAUGGUGCUCAUUGUCGCACAAAGCUUUUGGGGACAGAGUGCAUUCUUUGAUGUUAGGGUUUUUAACCCAUACGCACCUUGCUACCGCAACUCCACCCAGACCCAAUGCUAUAGAAAAAAUGAGUUAGAGAAGAAGAGAUGUUAUGAAGAGCGCAUUAGAGAGAUAGAACACGGCUCGUUCACCCCACUGGUUCUCUCUGCUGCUGGAGGAGUUGGCCCAGCCGCAACCAUCGUAUACAAGAGGUCACUAAUUUCAGAGAAACAAGUCUACCCUCCCUCCAUUGGGUGAGAUGCAGAUUAAACUUCUCUCUACUAAGAUCGGCUGUAAUGUGCAUACGUGGCUCCCGAUCUACCUUCGCUUUCGAAGUUUCUAUCGACCUGGCCGUCCACGAAGGCCAGGUCCACGAAGGCCAGGUGCAAUCUUUUUAACUCUUUUUAACUCAACCUUUUUUAACUCAACCAUAUAAGAAUAAUUAGAUCUAAACAUAUAUAUAACUUUCCUUUCCUGUAUUGUCACACGUAUUAUUUGACUUCGAGGGAAAAAUAAGCUGUUAACCGCGGAUGACGCAUAUUUGCGUCAACCGCACAUUACUCUACUCUCAGAUCUAUGUGUGCGUGCGUGCGUAUCACUACUGUAAUCACUACUGUAAGUGCCUGCUGUAUGUGCCUGCUGUACGGUUGCAAUGUAGGUCACUUGUGGAUUUCAACUUAAGCUUUGUUUCGAGUUAUGGCUUGUUUUUGUAAAAGCAAUUUGAAGUCUCUAGACUCGCGCGCAUGCGUAGCAAAAUGCAACUACAUGGUAAGUAAUCUGCACUACAGCGCUAGCUACUUUUCGCAGAUGUCUAGUAGCUUAAUAGUCUUCAUACUGUCAUUGUCAUUGUCCAUAUACAUGAAUUUUUAGGGAACAUGGAAAACACAGCUGAGACAGUGGUUCUCCAACAAGCGGAGGGUACCGAAACAUGGUGACCAGGAUCCCACAGCCACACAGCCCCACACAGCCCCCUACGAAGAAAAGAGAUACUCAUCGUGAUGGUGAUGGUGAUGAGGAAUUGAGGGACAUUGAGUAUGUGAAGCUUCUGGACAUUGAACUCAAAAAAGACAAGCCUACCAAAAAGGUAGUGAAAGAUUUAAUGGAAUCCUCGUAUACAGGCAGAAGACGGUGGAUAAAGCAAACGUAUUAUUUUGAAGCCAAGAGAACGCUUUAUUGGAUUCAACAACAAAAACCGUUAUGGUGUUUUCCUAGGCCCUGUCACAUUUGUUGUAAGCUACCUAGCAGCUAUUAAAGGCCUUAAGGUUAUGGGUAUAUUGCUCAUGAAUAAUUCAUAAGAUAUUUAUUUUCUUUAUUUCAUUAAUUUUUUUGUAACUAGCAAUGAAACUAGUAAUGAUUACUCUGCGCAGUUAAGGCCUGGGUCAGGCACUGAUAAGAUUAAUUUUAUUCAUUGCCAACAUUUUAUGUAGAUCAUGUAGAUCAUGUAGUGUUAAUGAGAUUCAUAAUGUUUAUUAAUGUUAUUCAUUGCAUGUGACUUCAUUGCAUGUGACGUCAUAAGGUCAAUAUAUUUGCUUAGCUAGCUGCUAAAACUAUUAUAGAUUAUCUUUGGCAACAAAUACGGCGGACUUAAACAAGGUAAGAGUAGCUGUUUAGGCCCUCAAAAGAUAGAGUAUGUUGUUAUGAUUAUGUUUCCUUGAUGGGAAGUAAAAUUGUCCAAAACUUUCUUAGCUAUGCUAGCUUCUUUAGCUCUGACAGCCACCCUAGAGGUAGGUGUAUCUCAAGAAUGCAAUAACUCCUACUCUUCCCAUCAAGGAUACUAGUACCUAGCUAUGAGAUGUUCAUCUAGCCUUGUUUUUGAAGCUUGAUCUUGGCAUCUUCUCUUUCUGAAAGUGGCAUGACGUCAUCAUUCUUUAUGAGACUAAUUAGCAUAAUUGAAUUAAGCUAAUUAGUUUUUUGGAAAAAGAAAACAUGGAUCAUUUUGAUGCAGCAUACACUGUAUAUUGCAAAUAAUACAGCAGUAUGAACAUAGUGUAAAUUUUGGUAUUGAAAUCUGGACCCGGGCCUUAAGUGCGCAGAGUAAAGAUAAAACAAUGCUAGCAGCUAAAAGUAUCUAUGAAAAUCCAAUGAAGUGGUCUGAGGUCAG
Long non-coding RNA from Halichondria panicea, 5808 nucleotides. RefSeq lists it as uncharacterized. Lineage: Eukaryota; Metazoa; Porifera; Demospongiae; Suberitida; Halichondriidae. The record is from RefSeq and is a predicted model, not a curated record. The transcript is spliced from 4 exons.